GACAGAGGUGCCGAGCGUUAGGCGGAAUCACUGGGCUUAAAGCGUGUGUAGGCGGGCGGGCAAGUACCUUGUGAAAUCCCACGGCUCAACCGUGGAACGGCUGGGUAUACUGCCUGUCUUGAGCCAACUAGGGGCGAGCGGAACAGACGGUGGAGCGGUGAAAUGCGUAGAUAUCGUCUGGAACGCCGAAGGUGAAAACAGCUCGCUGGGGUUGUGCUGACGCUGAGACACGAAAGCCAGGGGAGCGAACGGGG
RNAcentral lists this ribosomal RNA (254 nucleotides) under uncultured bacterium. RNAcentral describes it as "partial 16S ribosomal RNA". It matches the Rfam family "Bacterial small subunit ribosomal RNA", at positions 524 to 777 of the family's 1533-position model. The record is from RNAcentral.